GCAGUGGCGGGCUGCACAGGCUCCCAGGAAGGUAGAUGUGGAUAGUGACCUGUGCUUGCACGCAGGCUUCUUGGUGGCGGCAGCAGCAGCCUUAGCAUCCCAUGCCCGUCUCUGGGGUCCGUGCUGAUAGCCGCGGCUCGUGCCCGUCUCUGGAGCUCCUUUAAGCGGCACUGUUAAUCUCCUCUGAUUGCGCACCAGGAAACAAAGAGGCAAGAAAACGUCUCUUGCCUCUUCGGCAACUCCAGGCUUUUUUCCGGACUCCCUCCUGGCUUGCUGUGGCACACUAGCCCCCUUCAGGCUGUGUUCACGCAGCCAACCCCAGUCCUUUCCUUGGGAUCCGACCUCCUAAGCCCAAGCCUCAGCUCCCAGCCCCGGCCCGCCUAGACCGUGUAGACCGUGCUUUGUUCUCCCUAAAAAGUGGACAUUUACAGAGACAUUUUGACAUACAUGAUCUGCUUUUAAGAAGAUUUGAGCAACCCAAAGAGGUAGCAUGGUUAUUACUUCCACCUUGAUGGAUGGAGACCAUAAAGAAGACAGAGUUUGAGCACCUGGCCCCAAAUCCCAAUACUGUUAAGAGGUGAGCAGCGGAUUUGAACCCAGAUCCUUUCUGACUCCAGAGCCCCUAUGCUGCACUGCCACAGGACUUCACACCAAUUUCUUCCCAACAUGUCAAGGUGGGACUGAAUUGCUAUAAAAACCCAAGAUGUGAUCUGGGAGAAUGUUCCAUGUGCACUUGAGAAGAAUGUGUAUUCUGCUGCUUUCAGAUGGAAUGUCCUAUAAAUAUCAACAUCUUCUUAAUCCUUCAAUGCUACUGCAUGUUUCAUGUGACUCAAGUGAUCAUCUGUGGCCACUCCAUCCCAAGGUUCACUAGUAUAAGGAGGGACUCUGAGGUCUCCUUGACUCCUUAUCUUGCUCUGAAGAGAAUUUUUUCUGGAUGGUCUGCAGCAGCGUGAAUUUCUUCCUU
Long non-coding RNA from Physeter macrocephalus (sperm whale), 964 nucleotides. RefSeq lists it as uncharacterized. The transcript is spliced from 6 exons. The record is from RefSeq and is a predicted model, not a curated record. NCBI's taxonomy places the organism in Eukaryota, Metazoa, Chordata, Mammalia, Artiodactyla, Physeteridae.